AACGAACGCUGGCGGCAUGCCUAACACAUGCAAGUCGAACGAGACCUUCGGGUCUAGUGGCGCACGGGUGCGUAACGCGUGGGAACCUGCCCUUAGGUUCGGAAUAACUCCCCGAAAGGGGUGCUAAUACCGGAUAAUGUCUUCGGACCAAGGAUUUAUCGCCUUUGGAUGGGCCCGCGUUGGAUUAGCUAGUUGGUAGGGUAAAAGCCUACCAAGGCGACGAUCCAUAGCUGGUCUGAGAGGAUGAUCAGCCACACUGGGACUGAGACACGGCCCAGACUCCUACGGGAGGCAGCAGUGGGGAAUAUUGGACAAUGGGCGAAAGCAUGAUCCAGCAAUGCCGCGUGAGUGAUGAAGGCCUUAGGGUUGUAAAGCUCUUUUAACCGGGAUGAUAAUGACAGUACCGGGAGAAUAAGCUCCGGCUAACUCCGUG
Molecule: ribosomal RNA, 433 nt
Filed under: uncultured bacterium
Lineage: Bacteria
Description: partial 16S ribosomal RNA
Rfam family: Bacterial small subunit ribosomal RNA
Source: RNAcentral